Octodon degus (degu) is the source of this 134-nucleotide long non-coding RNA. RefSeq lists it as uncharacterized. Lineage: Eukaryota; Metazoa; Chordata; Mammalia; Rodentia; Octodontidae. The record is from RefSeq and is a predicted model, not a curated record. The transcript is spliced from 3 exons.
UCAUUUAAAUAUUGAAGGUGCGUGAAUUCAGCAAAAUAUUCCAAUAUAGUCCAGCAGUCCAUAAUAGUAGUGGGUUAUCCGCAGCACUGGCAUGUCAGAAGUUCUUAACUUCAGCCUUUUACAGCUCAGCAUAU